UGCCGGAUCGUCUAAUGGUAGGACACGGGCCUUUGAAGCCCGGUAUGUAGGUUCGAUUCCUACUCCGGCA
Molecule: transfer RNA, 70 nt
Filed under: Patescibacteria group bacterium
Lineage: Bacteria
Description: tRNA-Gln
Rfam family: tRNA
About the family: Transfer RNA (tRNA) molecules are approximately 80 nucleotides in length. Their secondary structure includes four short double-helical elements and three loops (D, anti-codon, and T loops).
Source: RNAcentral